GUGGGGAAUAUUGGACAAUGGGCGAAAGCCUGAUCCAGCCAUGCCGCGUGUGUGAAGAAGGUCUUCGGAUUGUAAAGCACUUUAAGUUGGGAGGAAGGGCAGUAAGUUAAUACCUUGCUGUUUUGACGUUACCGACAGAAUAAGCACCGGCUAACUUCGUGCCAGCAGCCGCGGUAAUACGAAGGGUGCAAGCGUUAAUCGGAAUUACUGGGCGUAAAGCGCGCGUAGGUGGUUUUGUAAGUUGGAGGUGAAAUCCCCGGGCUCAACCGGGGAACUGCCUCCAAAACUGCAUGACUAGAGUACGGUAGAGGGUAGUGGAAUUUCCUGUGUAGCGGUGAAAUGCGUAGAUAUAGGAAGGAACACCAGUGGCGAAGGCGACUACCUGGACUGAUACUGACACUGAGGUGCGAAAGCGUGGGGAGCAAACAGGAUUAGAAACCCUAGUAGUCC
RNAcentral lists this ribosomal RNA (450 nucleotides) under uncultured bacterium. RNAcentral's name for it is "bacterial SSU rRNA". It matches the Rfam family "Bacterial small subunit ribosomal RNA", at positions 354 to 796 of the family's 1533-position model. The record is from RNAcentral.